RNAcentral lists this ribosomal RNA (482 nucleotides) under uncultured bacterium. RNAcentral's name for it is "partial 16S ribosomal RNA". It matches the Rfam family "Bacterial small subunit ribosomal RNA", at positions 30 to 507 of the family's 1533-position model. The record is from RNAcentral.
AUUGAACGCUGGCGGCAUGCUUUACACAUGCAAGUCGAACGGUAACAGGCCGCAAGGUGCUGACGAGUGGCGAACGGGUGAGUAAUGCAUCGGAACGUGCCCAGUCGUGGGGGAUAACUACUCGAAAGAGUAGCUAAUACCGCAUACGACCUAUGGAUGAAAGCGGGGGACCGUAAGGCCUCGCGCGAUUGGAGCGGCCGAUGUCAGAUUAGGUAGUUGGUGGGGUAAAGGCUCACCAAGCCAACGAUCUGUAGCUGGUCUGAGAGGACGACCAGCCACACUGGGACUGAGACACGGCCCAGACUCCUACGGGAGGCAGCAGUGGGGAAUUUUGGACAAUGGGCGCAAGCCUGAUCCAGCAAUGCCGCGUGCAGGAAGAAGGCCUUCGGGUUGUAAACUGCUUUUGUACGGAACGAAACGGCUCCGGUUAAUACCCGGGGCUAAUGACGGUACCGUAAGAAUAAGCACCGGCUAACUACGUG